This is a non-coding RNA of Cucurbita pepo subsp. pepo (vegetable marrow), 332 nucleotides long. The record is from RefSeq and is a predicted model, not a curated record. Lineage: Eukaryota; Viridiplantae; Streptophyta; Magnoliopsida; Cucurbitales; Cucurbitaceae.
GAAAGAUCUGCAAGCCACAUGUCAUAUGUUGAAGAAAUUUAACUAUUACAGACAGAUAGGAAAAUAGUAAAAGUCCAAUUGCGGUCAGUAGUUUUCUAUGGUAAAAAUAGGUUCUGAAGCCUCUCACUUGAACCAUCUCCUAGUUCAAAAAUUUAUAAUGACAGAGCUGGAAAAGUAAUAAUCAGCUGCUGCAGAGCUCCGGGAAGAAGCAGACAACAUUCUUUUCUUCAGUUUCUUUUUCAUCAGUUCGCCUAGGGAGGUCCUGUUUUCCUUUUUAGCCACUGCCGUAGUCUCUGAUAAUUCAAUUGCUGACCCAAAAAGAUAUCCCUGAA